This 432-nucleotide ribosomal RNA is filed under the name uncultured bacterium. RNAcentral describes it as "bacterial SSU rRNA". It matches the Rfam family "Bacterial small subunit ribosomal RNA", at positions 81 to 507 of the family's 1533-position model. The record is from RNAcentral.
UUCGGAGUAGUAAAGUGGCAAACGGGUGAGGAAUACAUGGGUAACCUACCCUUGAGAAGGGAAUAACCCGCCGAAAGGCGAGCUAAUACCCUAUACGCUACCGCCUCCAUGGGGGAGGUAGGAAAGCUAAGCCGUGGGCUUGGCACUCAAGGACGGGCUCAUGUCCUAUCAGCUUGUUGGUAGGGUAACGGCCUACCAAGGCAACGACGGGUAGCUGGUCUGAGAGGAUGAUCAGCCACACUGGCACUGAGACACGGGCCAGACUCCUACGGGAGGCAGCAGUGAGGAAUAUUGCGCAAUGGGCGAAAGCCUGACGCAGCGACGCCGCGUGGGGGAUGAAGGUUCUCGGAUUGUAAACCCCUUUCGUGAGGAAAGAGAAAGUGGGUAACCACUUAGACGGUACCUCAAGAAGAAGCCACGGCUAACUUCGUG